This 2143-nucleotide long non-coding RNA is filed under the name Bemisia tabaci. RNAcentral describes it as "lncRNA ENSSSA2NGG011877". Lineage: Eukaryota; Metazoa; Arthropoda; Insecta; Hemiptera; Aleyrodidae. The record is from RNAcentral.
AUGUACGAUAGAAGUGCAAGAAGACAUGAGUAUUGCAGAAAUGAAACAGAUCGUUUCCAACAAUCUUCAAAUCCCUGUGGCCAGUCAAAACUAGUUUACCUUGGGAAACCAUUGAGUAAUGAAAAACGUGUGAGGGAUUAUCCACAAAUUAAGGAUGGAUCAAAAUUGAUUUGCACUGUUCUACCAUCAACAGUCACUCAGAAGCAGCCGGACGACCAGAAUGUUCUCAAAAAUGCAAUGUACAAAUUCCUGACAAUUAUUAUAGCGCAGCAGAUGCCUUGAAAAUCCUCACACCGUUCAUGAAAGAAAUGGAUACAUCCAUGUCUAGUUUAAGUCUUGACGACCUCGAACGAUUUGCUGUAACUUAUGGCAGUGAAGAAAAGCUGACCACUUGAUCCAAGGAUACUUUUUGACAGCCUAAAGCAUCAGCUUAAUGUUUACAAUUUUUUAUCAAUUAUCAUCAUGUACAGUUGUAAAAUAGUUAUUCAUAUAGAAUAUUAGAAUAUUUGAUAUUCCAUGUACACUAUAGACGUACUUUUUUUAUUUCUCUUUCUAUCUCUAUGCUCAUAUGAUUUGCUCAUGUGUUCGUAAAUCUUCGGUACUGAAGUGGUUGUGGCUGAUUAGCCUGACAGCUACUCAUCUUGUUUUAUUUGUUUGUUUUAGUUACUAAAUAAACGUAAACUUUUCCCAAUUUUUACUUCUUUGUUUAAUUUGCUCUUUCCUGACAACCAGAAAAUGACGUCCAAACAAUUAUUUUAUUUUGACCAUUUGACUAGUCAUUUGGUUAAUGAUUCUCAGUUAAAUGAGUCUCAAAACUCAUCAUCUCCCAGAGCAAGUAUCACAAUAGCCUGUCUCCAGAAUAUCAAUGUAAAAUUGAGGGGGAGGGGGAGGAUGGUUUAACCAUGGCUGUUUUAAGCACAUCAAAGUCUUGAACUAAGUACAUGUUCAGAAUCGCUCUUGUCUGCCUUUGAUAAAAUCCCAAAUAUGAUUCAAGUUAUGUGACCAUUUCGGCGGUUGCAAUACCCUGUUUUGAGACCUCCUGGCGCCUGUAAUAACCGUGUUUUUUUUUAUUUUCAAAGCUAUUUUUAAUGAGACCACAUUUAUUGUAGGAGCGCAAGAAACUUUUUCCCCAAAAAUUAAGACUAGAUUCAACCAAGGUCUAAGGAGCAUAAAUAAAAUGGUCCAGCGUGAUCACUACGCAACUGUCAGAGACCUCUCUUCCGAGCUGAAGUUAAUCAGGGACUCUCUAGAAUUGUAUCUAGCUAUUAAGUAUAAGCUUGAGGAUAUUUAGUCUAAAUAUAAAUCAUACAUGAUCAAUGUUAAGUCAGAUUCAAUCAAGUCAAUGGUUAAAAAGUCGAAUAAUGUAUCCAAGGAUUCCUGGAGAAUUAUUAAUGAUCAUAGACCUACCAAAAUGAUGGGUAGCAUUAUUCAUAGUAUUGCUAAGGACGGCAAGGAAAUUGAUAACAUGACAGAGAUUGCUAACACAAUGAAUACCUAAUUUCUUUGCUUCAAUUAUGGCACAAAGUUCUAGCAUGAUUCCAACACCUUCUAAUUAUGACUACAUACCUCAAUGCAGCAGCCGCUUUUAUCCCAAUCCUGUCAACUCUGGGUCGGUCGAAUUAAUUAUUGAUAAAUUAAAAAAUAAAACAUCUGAAGACCAUCUUGGUUGUCUCAUGCCUUUGUUAAAAAGAUCAAGUAUGAAAUCAACGCCCCCCUGGCUGUAUGCAUUAAUGAUGCCUUUUCCUCUUGCACUUUCCCGAUGUUCUGAAAACAGUUAAAAUAACGCCUCUGUUCAAAAGCGGUAAUCGACUAGAUGUAAAUAACUACAGACCACUUGCGCAAAUUUCGCCGAUCUCUUAAGUCUACGAGCAUGCUUUAUGUAAACAAAUCAACAAAUUUAUUCAAACAAAUAACCUGCUGUAUAAACAUCAAUAUGGCUUUCGACCAAAAGUCAGUACCGAAAAUGCCAUCGCUCGUUGUCAUGACCUUCUCACCAACAACAAGAAAUUAUAUUCAGUUGCGGUGGCAGUAGACCUAAAGAAGGCUUUUGACUCCGUCCACCAUGGCCUCUUGAAAAUCAAACUACAGAAAUUUGGCCUUAGUGAACCAGCUAUUAGUCUUAUACAGGGUUAUCCAAAAGUCA